This 97-nucleotide ribosomal RNA is filed under the name Tissierellia bacterium. Its description in RNAcentral is "partial 16S ribosomal RNA". It matches the Rfam family "Bacterial small subunit ribosomal RNA", at positions 1 to 91 of the family's 1533-position model. Lineage: Bacteria; Bacillati; Bacillota; Tissierellia. The record is from RNAcentral.
CUUUCUUAUGAGAGUUUGAUCCUGGCUCAGGACGAACGCUGGCGGCGUGCCUAACACAUGCAAGUCGAACGGAGAACUAAUCAUGACAUCUUCGGAU